Molecule: RNA transcript, 1703 nt
Organism: Momordica charantia (bitter melon)
Lineage: Eukaryota; Viridiplantae; Streptophyta; Magnoliopsida; Cucurbitales; Cucurbitaceae
Gene name: Ubiquitin system component Cue protein
Source: RefSeq, a predicted model, not a curated record
CUCCAGCACCUUACCUGAUCGCGGAGAAUAUGCACCCCAAGAUCGCACUCUUCGCAGCCAUGAACGAGGAGGAGCCCAAUUCUCAGAGCUUCGGAUGCUAAAAUUCCUCUCUUCCCGGAGAGAGAACGUGACAACGAAAGCCCUAAUUCGAUUUCGUAUCUCGGAGGCAGAAAUCCCAAGAAAUUGAAUUUUCAGUCUGUUGAUUUGUUUAUGGUCGCUGAAAUCGAGAGGCGUCUGGACUAACCCCGAUCGUUUCUCUGCUUUUUUUUUCCUCCGAUUUUGCUAGAUUGAUAUUUCUGAGUUUUAUUGAAUUGGAAUUGUUGGCCAUGUUUUGGUUUGGAUCCGAUCGAAUUGCUGCAUGAAUUGGACGGAAGGUUUGGUUGCGGAUCGAGCGCUUAGAGAGUAGAGGAAGCAGAGCAGCGGCGCUGAAACAUGUCUGCCAUAGUGUGCGGGAAGAGAUCCUUAUUUGAAGACCUGCCUACACCUCCCGUCUCUAAGAGAAUUCGUUGUUCAUCUUCUUCGCCUGUGCGGUUUUCGCCUCCGAGGUCAUCGAAUCAGUCUACUUUUCCUUUCCCCCCGACGUCCUCCUCACAGUCGGCUCAUUUAGUCGAUUAUCUUAGUGCCAUUUUUCCUGACAUGGAUAAACAGCUUCUGGAGAGAGCACUUGAAGAAUGUGGUGAUGAUCUAGAUUUAGCCAUCAGAAGUUUGAACCAGCUUCAUUUGGGGUUCAAUGACAGAAACUUGGGAAGUGCUUCAAACAGCGCCGACAUAGCUUUGGAAGCAAAUGUUCUACCUCGACCAGAAGCAGAAGCACAAGGAGAAGCUGCAAUUGCUGGGGAUGCAACAGCUUCUGAGAACCUUCCCACAAAUGGGGCAGAAUGGGUGGAACUCUUUGUCAGAGAAAUGACAAGUGCCUCAAACAUGGAUGAUGCACGAAGCCGUGCUUCCAGAGUUCUUGAGGUUCUGGAAAAGUCCAUCUGUGCCCGUGCAAAUACAGACGCAGCAAAAAAUUUUCAUCAGGAAAACAAGAUGCUUAGGGAACAAGUGGAAGCACUUAUUCAAGAAAACACUAUUCUCAAAAGAGCUGUCUCCAUUCAGCAUGAACGUCAGAAAGAAUAUGAAGGCAGGAACCAGGAGUUGCAACAUCUUAAAGAAUUAGUGUCUCAAUAUCAAGAGCAGUUGAAAACCCUAGAGGUGAACAACUAUGCACUCACAGUGCAUCUCAAGCAAGCUCAACAAAGCAGCUCCAUUCCAGGGCGUUUCCACCCUGAUGUUUUCUAGUCAAGAAUUGCUAGGUCGAAGCCGUGGCGAACUCGAUCCUCACAAGACUUCUGUCCAAUAAAAAUACAACCUUCUGAUGCUUGCUUGUAAAAGAAAUUCUCCUGGGAAAAGCUUCUUCACAGCACCGCGAUCUCGGUGGAGAUAGAUUUUCAACAGCGGUCUGGCGUUUUUGCUUUGAAACUGCAAGGUAAAUAACUUCAUGUUAGAUUGUUUAACUAGCAAAGUUGAUCUAAGAUUUUAUUUUGGGUUCGACUUUUCCUUUUUAAAAGAGAGUUGCAAUGCCCCAAUUGAAUGAAGAACAUCUCUGGAAGUGAAUACAAUUCUUAGAUAGACAUGAAAAAUAGUGGCCAAUAUUUAAUCUGCUCAAUUUUAUUUGAUUUUGCUAAGAGUUUUUUAAACAAUGAAAUUAUUUGUAUCGAAAA